GAUGAACGCUAGCUACAGGCUUAACACAUGCAAGUCGAGGGGAAACGAUAGAGAAAGCUUGCUUUUUCUAGGCGUCGACCGGCGCACGGGUGAGUAACGCGUAUCCAACCUGCCCACCACUUGGGGAUAACCUUGCGAAAGUAAGACUAAUACCCAAUGAUAUCUCUAGAAGACAUCUGAAAGGGAUUAAAGAUUUAUCGGUGAUGGCUGGGGAUGCGUCUGAUUAGCUUGUUGGCGGGGUAACGGCCCACCAAGGCUACGAUCAGUAGGGGUUCUGAGAGGAAGGUCCCCCACAUUGGAACUGGGAGACGGUCCAAACUCCUACGGGAGGCAGCAGUGCGGAAUAUUGGUCAAUGGACGAGAGUCUGAACCAGCCAAGUAGCGUGCAGGAUGACGGCCCUAUGGGUUGUAAACUGCUUUUAUAAGGGAAUAAAGUGAGUCUCGUGUGGUUAUUUGUAGGUACUGUAUGAAUAAGGACCGGCUAAUUCCGUGCCAGCCGCCGCAGUAA
RNAcentral lists this ribosomal RNA (508 nucleotides) under uncultured bacterium. RNAcentral's name for it is "partial 16S ribosomal RNA". It matches the Rfam family "Bacterial small subunit ribosomal RNA", at positions 28 to 523 of the family's 1533-position model. The record is from RNAcentral.